RNAcentral lists this ribosomal RNA (515 nucleotides) under uncultured bacterium. RNAcentral describes it as "partial 16S ribosomal RNA". It matches the Rfam family "Bacterial small subunit ribosomal RNA", at positions 28 to 523 of the family's 1533-position model. The record is from RNAcentral.
GAUGAACGCUGGCGGCGUGCCUAAUACAUGCAAGUCGAGCGAAUGGAUUAAGAGCUUGCUCUUAUGAAGUUAGCGGCGGACGGGUGAGUAACACGUGAGUAACCUGCCCAUAAGACUGGGAUAACUACGGGAAACCGGGGCUCAUACCGGAUAACAUUUUGAACCGCAUGGUUCGAAAUUGAAAGGCGGCUUCGGCUGUCACUUAUUGAUGGACCCGCGUCGCAUUAGCUAGUUGGUGAGGUAACGGCUCACCAAGGCAACGGUGCGGAGCCGACCUGAGAGGGUGAUCGGCCACACUGGGACUGAGACACGGCCCAGACUCCUACGGGAGGCAGCAGUAGGGAAUCUUCCGCAAUGGACGAAAGUCUGACGGAGCAACGCCGCGUGAGUGAUGAAGGCUUUCGGGUCGUAAAACUCUGUUGUUAGGGAAGAACAAGUGCUAGUUGAAUAAGCUGGCACCUUGACGGUACCUAACCAGAAAGCCACGGCUAACUACGUGCCAGCAGCCGCGGUAA